UCAUGCUGAUGGUGCUGCGCCCGUCCUCCUCUAUAGGGCAGUUAAAAUCACCGCCCAGGAUUACUGCUCUGGUUGUGGCGAUCUGGGUCCGCAGGGUCUGGAAAAGCUCCA
Molecule: long non-coding RNA, 111 nt
Organism: Nanorana parkeri
Lineage: Eukaryota; Metazoa; Chordata; Amphibia; Anura; Dicroglossidae
Exons: 3
Source: RefSeq, a predicted model, not a curated record